GUGAGGAAUAUUGCGCAAUGGACGAAAGUCUGACGCAGCCAUGCCGCGUGAAGGAUUGACGGCCCUAUGGGUUGUAAACUUCUUUUGUAUAGGAAUAAACCCUCGUUCGUGAACGAGGCUGAAGGUACUAUAAGAAUAAGCACCGGCUAACUCCGUGCCAGCAGCCGCGGUAAUACGGAGGGUGCAAGCGUUAUCCGGAUUUAUUGGGUUUAAUGGGUCCGUAGGCGGAUCGUUAAGUCAGUGGUGAAAUCCUACCGCUCAACGGUAGAACUGCCAUUGAUACUGGCGAUCUUGAGUAUGUAUGAAGUUGGCGGAAUGUGUGGUGUAGCGGUGAAAUGCUUAGAUAUCACACAGAACACCGAUUGCGAAGGCAGCUGACUAAUACACAACUGACGCUGAGGGACGAAAGUGUGGGGAUCAAACAGGAUUAGAUACCCCUGUAGUCC
RNAcentral lists this ribosomal RNA (446 nucleotides) under uncultured bacterium. Its description in RNAcentral is "partial 16S ribosomal RNA". It matches the Rfam family "Bacterial small subunit ribosomal RNA", at positions 354 to 796 of the family's 1533-position model. The record is from RNAcentral.